GGUAACCUAGGGGUUUAACGGCUUGUUGUACGUGCUAAGUGCAAUCGUAAUGCUCUACGAAAGUAAGUAUUUAUCUUAGUAUAUUUAUAUAAUAAAUAACACUUUUGCACUCUUAUCAUUUUCGCACUAAAUUGCUAGAGACUAGCAAUAAGCUAGUUGGGGGGUGUGAUGAGAGCAGAAAAGUGCAAUCAUCGUACCACCUUAAUUAGUAUUAUAGUUAAUUUUUAAUGAUAAAAUUAAUGAAUUAACAUUGUAUUUGUGUUUGAGUGCAAGGAAUCUAAGAGACCCAAUAACAUUGGGUUUGAGUCCAAUGCCCGACAGCCCGAGCUCAACAAAUUCCCCAGCNN
RNAcentral lists this long non-coding RNA (347 nucleotides) under Phoenix dactylifera (date palm). RNAcentral describes it as "long non-coding RNA (PDAC_LNC006407)". The record is from RNAcentral. Lineage: Eukaryota; Viridiplantae; Streptophyta; Magnoliopsida; Arecales; Arecaceae.